This 520-nucleotide ribosomal RNA is filed under the name uncultured Glomeromycotina. RNAcentral describes it as "SSU rRNA". It matches the Rfam family "Eukaryotic small subunit ribosomal RNA", at positions 569 to 1092 of the family's 1831-position model. The record is from RNAcentral. Lineage: Eukaryota; Fungi; Glomeromycota.
AGCAGCCGCGGUAAUUCCAGCUCCAAUAGCGUAUAUUAAAGUUGUUGCAGUUAAAAAGCUCGUAGUUGAAUUUCGGGAUUCUACCGUUGGUCGGGCUAACAAGUCUGUACUGGUGUGUAGAAUUUCUACCUUCUGGGGAACUAUCAUGUUAUUAAUUUAGCGUGGUGGGAAACCAGGACCUUUACCUUGAAAAAAUUAGAGUGUUCAAAGCAGGCUUAUGUCUGAAUACAUUAGCAUGGAAUAAUAGAAUAGGACGUUGGUCCUGUUUUGUUGGUUUCUGAAUCACCGUAAUGAUUAAUAGGGAUAGUUGGGGGCAUUAGUAUUCAAUUGUCAGAGGUGAAAUUCUUGGAUUUAUUGAAGACUAACUUCUGCGAAAGCAUUUGCCAAGGAUGUUCUCAUUAAUCAAGAACGAAAGUUGGGGGAUCGAAGACGAAUCAGAUACCGUCGUAGUCUUAACCAUAAACUAUGCCGACUAGGGAUCGGACGAUGUUAAAUUUAUUGACUCGUUCGGCGCCUUACG